AAAGGUUCAAAUUAGUUGGGAGCACCUUCACUUAAUUAUAACAGUGGUUUUGUUAGGAAAACAGUUCUGUAUACCAAUACUAAAUUGCGUUAACGUCAACGGCUAAUGUAUCUAACAUAGCUAACCGUUAUUUUUAGCACAGCAUUAACAGCAAGCUACAAUGACGAGUAACAAAAACAAAACAGUAAAAAGGUUUUAAUGAAAAUGUUUUACCUUUUCCAACAGUCCCAGAAUCCAGAGCUUCAAAGACCAGCAGGUACUGAAGACUGUUAUCCGUUUCGCUGUCACCGUCCGUGAGAAAGUGUUUUUUCCCUUAGAAAGUUCAAUGCCUGGCGGUCGCGCAAUCUGCCUGCGCAUGCGCAUCCCAACGAUUGACCCCUCCCCCCCUUCCCUUUCGGGAGGUUGCCAUAUUACACGUGUUCUAACGUAACGCUCUCUCUCUCUCUCUCUCGCUCCCUGUCAUUUAUUUGGCUCGAAACACAUAUUAACAAAUUGCUCAGUGAUAAACAAGUACUCAUAUCAUUUACCUAAGCAGCGUGCUUUGUCAAAACUAAGUAAGUGGCCCCGCCUUCCUCCAUGGAAAUCAGUGUUCCAGGACUCACGGGGGAUUGGCUGGCCCCGGAUCUGUGCCCGCCUCAACUUCAUGCAGAUCAGAGUGUGCCAGACCACUCACACCAUUGGCUGCUGCAGGAGCCUUGAACACGAUGGACCAAUGACACGGCUGCCUGCAUUUACCGGGGAAUACAAAAGGCUGGAGGUCCUUCACUCAGUGGCUGCUGCUUAGGACUGAACAUGCAGUUUGCCCUUCGUGCCUCCCUCUUCAAUCUUUGUUGAACUUGUUUCUUUGUCAAACCAUGAUGCAUGCUUGAACUUAGCCUGAUUAGAGCUUUGCGCUGCUAGCUGGCUGUGAGUAGAAAUUGUGAUGCUGGCUCGCCUUAGUUUUCCCUUAGCUUUUAUUUUGUGUGCCGCCAGCUUGCCUUAGUUAACCUUUGGCUUUUACUCUUGUCUUCUUUUUUUUGUCUUUAUAUAGUAAUUGUUUGCCCAGAGGUCUGUUGAACAGCCCUGUCGGUUUAAAGUUUGAAAUUAAAACCUUUCUUUACUCAGUUUUGUGUUUGGGGCUUGUGUAUGUUACUCCUCCCCUGACGCCUAGCAGAGGGGGUCGUAACAGUCGGUAAUGAACACAGAGUGUUUGUUUUGCUUUGUUUAUUUGUCUCUUUGAAUUCUAUGUUGUUGUACUUUUUUAACAUGUUCAAAAUAAAGAUUCAAUCAAUCAAUCAAUCAAUCAAAUAUUAAUCGUCAAUUUUAA
This is a long non-coding RNA of Oreochromis aureus, 1306 nucleotides long. Lineage: Eukaryota; Metazoa; Chordata; Actinopteri; Cichliformes; Cichlidae. The record is from Ensembl.